UACGUAGGGGGCAAGCGUUAUCCGGAUUUACUGGGUGUAAAGGGAGCGUAGACGGCCAUUCAAGCCAGAUGUGAAAGCCCGGGGCUCAACCCCGGGACUGCGUUUGGAACUGUAUGGCUGGAGUGUCGGAGAGGCAGGCGGAAUUCCUAGUGUAGCGGUGAAAUGCGUAGAUAUUAGGAGGAACACCAGUGGCGAAGGCGGCCUGCUGGACGAUGACUGACGUUGAGGCUCGAAAGCGUGGGGAGCAAACAGG
Molecule: ribosomal RNA, 253 nt
Filed under: uncultured bacterium
Lineage: Bacteria
Description: partial 16S ribosomal RNA
Rfam family: Bacterial small subunit ribosomal RNA
Source: RNAcentral